GCCCACGGUGGCUCAGAUGGAUAGAGCGUCUGCCAUGUAAGCAGGAGAUCCGGGUUCGAGUCCCGGUCGGGGCA
This 74-nucleotide transfer RNA is filed under the name Schistocerca americana (American grasshopper). RNAcentral describes it as "tRNA-Thr". It matches the Rfam family "tRNA". From Rfam's summary of the family: Transfer RNA (tRNA) molecules are approximately 80 nucleotides in length. Their secondary structure includes four short double-helical elements and three loops (D, anti-codon, and T loops). The record is from RNAcentral. Lineage: Eukaryota; Metazoa; Arthropoda; Insecta; Orthoptera; Acrididae.